GACGAACGCUGGCGGCGUGCUUAACACAUGCAAGUCGAACGAUGAAGCACCAGCUUUCCGGUGUGGAUUAUUGGCGAACGGGUGAGUAACACGUGUGUAACCUUCCCCUCACUCUGGGAUAUGCCUGGGAAACUGGGUCUAAUACUGGAUACGACCGAUCUCCGCUUGGUGUUUUGUUGGUUUGUUUUUGUGGUGGGUGAUGGACUCGCUGCCUAUCAGCUUGUUGGUGGGGUAGUGGCCUACCAAGGCGACGACGGGUAUCCGGCCUGAGAGGGCGACCGGCCACACUGGGACUGAGACACGGCCCAGAAUACUACGGGAGGCAGCAGUGGGGAAUAUUGCAGAAUGGGCGAAAGCAUGAUGAAGAGAAGCCGCGUGAGGGAUGACGGCCAUCGGGUUGUAAACCACAUUCAACAGGGAAGAAGCUAAAGUGACGGUAACUGGAGAAGAAGCACCGGCUAACUACGUG
Molecule: ribosomal RNA, 469 nt
Filed under: uncultured bacterium
Lineage: Bacteria
Description: partial 16S ribosomal RNA
Rfam family: Bacterial small subunit ribosomal RNA
Source: RNAcentral